GACGAACCGUGCAAACGUUGUUCGGAAUCACUGGGCUUAAAGGGCGCGUAGGCGGGGAGGCAAGUCCGGGGUGAAAUCAUACGGCUCAACCGUAUAAGGGCCUUGGAUACUGCCUGUCUCGAGGGAGGUAGGGGCGUGCGGAACUUCCGGUGGAGCGGUGAAAUGCGUAGAUAUCGGAAGGAACACCGGUGGCGAAAGCGGCGCGCUGGACCUCUUCUGACGCUGAGGCGCGAAAGCCAGGGGAGCAAACGGG
This 253-nucleotide ribosomal RNA is filed under the name uncultured bacterium. RNAcentral describes it as "partial 16S ribosomal RNA". It matches the Rfam family "Bacterial small subunit ribosomal RNA", at positions 524 to 776 of the family's 1533-position model. The record is from RNAcentral.